Molecule: ribosomal RNA, 372 nt
Filed under: uncultured organism
Description: bacterial SSU rRNA
Rfam family: Bacterial small subunit ribosomal RNA
Source: RNAcentral
CGGGGGGGCUAGCGUUGUUCGGAAUUACUGGGCGUAAAGGGCUCGUAGGUGGCCAACUAAGUCAUGCGUGAAAUCCCUCGGCUUAACCGGGGAACUGCGUCUGAUACUGGAUGGCUUGAAUCCGGGAGAGGGAUGCGGAAUUCCAGGUGUAGCGGAGAAAUGCGUAGAUAUCUGGAGGAACACCGGUGGCGAAGGCGGCAUCCUGGACCGGCAUUGACACUGAGGAGCGAAAGCCAGGGGAGGCAAACGGGAUUAGAUACCCCGGUAGUCCUGGCCCUAAACGAUGAAUGCUUGGUGUGACGGGUAUCGAUCCCUGUCGUGCCGAAGCUAACGCAUUAAGCAUUCCGCCUGGGGAGUACGGUCGCAAGGCUG